Molecule: ribosomal RNA, 478 nt
Filed under: uncultured bacterium
Lineage: Bacteria
Description: partial 16S ribosomal RNA
Rfam family: Bacterial small subunit ribosomal RNA
Source: RNAcentral
GACGAACGCUGGCGGCGUGCUUAACACAUGCAAGUCGAACGGUAAGGCCCUUCGGGGUACACGAGUGGCGAACGGGUGAGUAACACGUGGGUGAUCUGCCCUGCACUUCGGGAUAAGCCUGGGAAACUGGGUCUAAUACCGGAUAGGACCACUGCCUGCAUGGGUGGUGGUGGAAAGCUUUUGCGGUGUGGGAUGGGCCCGCGGCCUAUCAGCUUGUUGGUGGGGUGAUGGCCUACCAAGGCGACGACGGGUAGCCGGCCUGAGAGGGUGACCGGCCACACUGGACCUAAGAUACGGCCCAGACUCCUACGGGAGGCAGCAGUGGGGAAUAUUGCACAAUGGGCGCAAGCCUGAUGCAGCGACGCCGCGUGAGGGAUGACGGCCUUCGGGUUGUAAACCUCUUUCAGCACCGACGAAGCGCAAGUGACGGUAGGUGCAGAAGAAGGACCGGCCAACUACGUGCCAGCCGCCGCCGUAA